RNAcentral lists this ribosomal RNA (974 nucleotides) under uncultured bacterium. Its description in RNAcentral is "bacterial SSU rRNA". It matches the Rfam family "Bacterial small subunit ribosomal RNA", at positions 382 to 1371 of the family's 1533-position model. The record is from RNAcentral.
UCUGAUGCAGCAACGCCGCGUGGAGGAUGACGCAUUUCGGUGUGUAAACUCCUUUUAUAUGAGAAGAAAUUUGACGGUAUCAUAUGAAUAAGCACCGGCUAACUCCGUGCCAGCAGCCGCGGUAAUACGGAGGGUGCAAGCGUUACUCGGAAUCACUGGGCGUAAAGGACGCGUAGGCGGUUUGAUAAGUCAGAAGUGAAAUCCUACAGCUUAACUGUAGAACUGCUUUUGAAACUAUUAGACUAGAGUUCGGGAGAGGCAAAGGGAAUUUCUGGUGUAGGGGUAAAAUCCGUAGAGAUCAGAAGGAAUACCGAAAGCGAAGGCGCUUUGCUGGAACGAUACUGACGCUGAGGCGUGAAAGCGUGGGGAGCAAACAGGAUUAGAUACCCUGGUAGUCCACGCCCUAAACGAUGUACACUAGUCGUCGCAGAGCAAGUCUCUGCGGUGAUGCAGUUAACACAUUAAGUGUACCGCCUGGGGAGUACGGUCGCAAGAUUAAAACUCAAAGGAAUAGACGGGGACCCGCACAAGUGGUGGAGCAUGUGGUUUAAUUCGAAGAUACACGAAGAACCUUACCUGGCCUUGACAUAGUAAGAAUCUUCCAGAGAUGGAGGAGUGCUGCUUGCAGAACUUAUAUACAGGUGCUGCACGGCUGUCGUCAGCUCGUGUCGUGAGAUGUUGGGUUAAGUCCCGCAACGAGCGCAACCCUCGCCAAUAGUUGCUAACAGGUUAAGCUGAGAACUCUAUUGGGACUGCCUUCGCAAGGAGGAGGAAGGUGAGGACGACGUCAAGUCAUCAUGGCCCUUACGGCCAGGGCUACACACGUGCUACAAUGGUUGGGAUAAAAAGAAGCGAUACCGCGAGGUGGAGCCAAUCUCAAAACCCAAUCUCAGUUCGGAUAGCAGUCUGCAACUCGACUGCUUGAAGCUGGAAUCACUAGUAAUCGUGGAUCAGAUAUGCCACGGUGAAUACGU